Molecule: ribosomal RNA, 478 nt
Filed under: uncultured bacterium
Lineage: Bacteria
Description: partial 16S ribosomal RNA
Rfam family: Bacterial small subunit ribosomal RNA
Source: RNAcentral
GACGAACGCUGGCGGCGUGCUUAACACAUGCAAGUCGAACGGUAAGGCCCUUCGGGGUACACGAGUGGCGAACGGGUGAGUAACACGUGGGUGAUCUGCCCUGCACUUCGGGAUAAGCCUGGGAAACUGGGUCUAAUACCGGAUAGGACCACUGCCUGCAUGGGUGGUGGUGGAAAGCUUUUGCGGUGUGGGAUGGGCCCGCGGCCUAUCAGCUUGUUGGUGGGGUGAUGGCCUACCAAGGCGACGACGGGUAGCCGGGCUGAGAGGGUGACCGGCCACACUGGGACUGGGAUACGGCCCAGACUCCGACGGGAGGCAGCAGUGGGGAAUGUUGCACAAUGGGCGCAAGCCUGAUGCAGCGACGCCGCGUGAGGGAUGACGGCCUUCGGGUUGUAAACCUCUUUCAGCACCGACGAAGCGCAAGUGACGGUAGGUGCAGAAGAAGGACCGGCCAACUACGUGCCAGCCGCCGCAGUAA